AGAGUCCUUUGGUUCGUCUCUGCAUCGAGGCGGCUACGGAAGCAAAGACGCCAUUGACGCUUGGAAGAUGCAGCGUCGAACACUCGAACGCAUGCCUUCUCAGCUCAUCGACAUUCUUCUGCACCGUCUCCUCCAUCGGCGGAUCCUCUAUCCUUCACUUCUCGACUGUAGUUAGCGGUGAAGAUUGCGUGCUAAAUGAAGGACCUAUUGAAAUUGAGCAAUGGAAUCAUGUGAUUGUAUGGUAAGAUCUUGGAUUUUUAACUCAAAUUGAAAUAAAUUUAUGAGUCCUUCAUCUACAUCACAUCAGUUAGGUAGCUUUGGAUUGAGUUUCCUAUGCAAUAUGGAAUUUAUUUCUCCAAACAAAAAAAAUUAUAGGAUUAGUUGAAUUGCCUUUCAAUUACCUAUAUUUGUACAUGUGAUGUAUUAAAGUGAACUAUGAAUAAAUUGUCCACUAAUAAAUUGAUUCAAUUUUUAAUGGGA
This is a long non-coding RNA of Impatiens glandulifera, 480 nucleotides long. RefSeq lists it as uncharacterized. The transcript is spliced from 2 exons. The record is from RefSeq and is a predicted model, not a curated record. NCBI's taxonomy places the organism in Eukaryota, Viridiplantae, Streptophyta, Magnoliopsida, Ericales, Balsaminaceae.